Etheostoma spectabile (orangethroat darter) is the source of this 219-nucleotide long non-coding RNA. RefSeq lists it as uncharacterized. NCBI's taxonomy places the organism in Eukaryota, Metazoa, Chordata, Actinopteri, Perciformes, Percidae. The transcript is spliced from 3 exons. The record is from RefSeq and is a predicted model, not a curated record.
GCUUUUUAAUCAUUAUUGGUGCUUAUUUCUUAGAAUUUAAUCAGAACAGGUGAAAGUGCUUGGCAUGUAACAACUUUGUAACUCUGUGCGAGAGUAGCAGGUGCAGAAAGACAACAUAGUUUCAUAGCACCUACAAUUAAAUACACUUGGGUCCAGUAGACCCGAACACCUCAUAUGUAAUAGUUUUGUGUAGGGGGAAGAGAGUGUACUGUGUGCAGU